GCUUAACCAACUGAGCCACCCAGGCGCCCUAUUGUAGUUAUUAAUAAAACAUCACUCCACAAAUCUUACCGAGGGUUAAGCCUAUCUGAACUGAUCACAUGUUGGCUGGAUUCUGAUGCAUGUCACCUUUUGAUGUGACAUUGAAGACCCAUGCUCUGCACGUCUUUCUAUUCUUCCAUUCUCAGAGUUCCGGCAAUGACUAUCCUCUUGGUUGUAAUACAGCUGCCUCUGCUUUAAACAUCAUGUCCUCUCGGCAUAAUUUCAGACAAGAUGAAAGAAAGCAGGCAACAAAAAGGGCCUCCUCCUUAUGUACUUCCUUUAUGCUGCGGAAGGAAAUCUUCCCAAGAAGGGCCCUUUGCAAACUUCUUUUUAUGUGCCAUUGACCAGAAAUGUGUCACAUUUGGUCAUUAGACCAAUCGCUCCCAAAGGAAGUGUGGUAACUGUGAUUGGCUGAGAAGAGUCAUGAUUCAUUCACUGGGGCUAGAACAAGCAAAGAGGAGGCAUGGUACGUGGGUGGGCAGGGUCUGCCAUACCUUUUUUGUCAUUUUCUUCUUAUGUCUGUUUGGUUUACCAGUUCCUAAUCCAGUGCCUGACCUAAAAUAAGCAUUCAAUAUGUAUUUAUUGGGGAAUGAGUAAAGUAAUGCAUGGAUAAAUAAUGACUAGAAUAUCCUUCUCCUUGCCUUUCCCCCUAUUUAUUCUUUUGGUUUCCUCAUUUCUCUGAGUCUGAUGUAGGCAGUCCUGGAGCUAUUCUUUCUAUCUGCAGAUGAUGCUUCCUAAAUUUGGUAACAUGGUUAAGAGGUGAAUAUGGCCUAUCACACUGUCCAUUUUCAGCCUUUGGUGUAGGUUGGUCAGUGUGGUCAAGGAGAGGACAGGUAGGUGAGGCUGGUUAUGCACUCAAGGACUGCAUGCACAGCCAAGACAGGAAACCAAGGUAGUCCAUUCCCUUCAGUCCUCUCCCUGGGCAGUUCUCUAUGAGUUUUUAAACUCCUGUGUUAGAAUGUUAACAAAAUAACAGGAUCUGUGGAAAAUAUUAAAGGGAUAUGGUUUGAUAUGCACCAGGCAUCUUGGAAGCAUUUGUUACCAAGCAUUUAAUGAGAUUAUUAUAAGCCCCUUCCACUUAGCUCAUAGCUCAAAAGGUCUAAACACCAUUUCUAGGUAUCCCUUUGUUAAUCUAGUUUGAAUGAAGCACUAGGAAAUAUUUCUUUAAAUAAGUGACUAUCCUGGGUUAUUCAUGAUUUCAGUCUUGUUUAUCCCCUGCUGUUGGACCAAAGUGGGGACUUUAUGCUCAAUCCUGGAGUAUCCCUGGGAAGGAGAUAGAAUGAUGAGGAGUUGUCUAAUCUGAGUGGAAUCUGAUCUCUGUCACUUAUUAGCUAUGACAUCCUGGGCAAGUUGCUUAAUACAUCCAAGCCUCAAUUUUCUCACCUACAAAAUGGGACAAUAAUUGAGGGCGGUUCUGGCGCAAUGACUACAACAAAGAAAGGAUGCAACAAAUGCUGUCUGUAGUUGCUGUUGCCACAUGCUAUAGUCAUCAGUUUGCCAUUGAAAUGAGCACUUUUUUUUUUUUACAAAGACAUCUGUGGUUGUUAUCUUUGAAAAAAGAUGAUGCCAUUUAGGAAAACCCAAAGUCAGUCCAUCCAACAACAGCCAGCUUAGUGUGAGGCACUUCUUGCAUUCUCGGCAUGGUGCUGGGCACUGGGAUUAUCUUUAGAACCUGGUGGGGCCUCAUGUUGCCGAGAAUGACUCUGACUGGUCACUGAAGGGUGGUUAAAAAACAUCUGUAGAAUCUGAUGUUUAUUUUGCAGAAAUGAAGUUCUUUGGGCUGAAUUGACUGAUCAUGUCACCCAAAAUGGCCCCUUAGGAUUGAAUCUAUUCUGAAUUGAUUCUGUCCUGCAGUUGGGACUUUUACUUUAACCAAGAGUAUGUCAUGUGGCAGCAUGGAGAAGAGGGGUGUUCAGGAGCUGGGCAAAGUCAAUCUUCACCAUGCCUGUCUACCCCCUAAGACAUCGUCACUUCAGGCAAGACUGCUCAUUAUUCUGGGCCUCUUAAUCUCUAACAUGAGCAUUUAAAUACCCACCCAUGGCAUUUAACUGGCUAUUGCAGAGUAAAAGAUGAAAUGAUUUCGUUGUAAUUAUUAUUAUGGUUACUUAUGCUGGUCUGAGAGGAGAUUUCUUUCAGAUGCUAGAAAGCCUUUGGGUCAAGGAGCAUGAGAACAAUUGUUCUUCUAUGGCAAGUUCUUUCCAACUCUCCAUGUCAAUUCAAACUAACUAAAGGGAUAUGUUUAAAAAUAUUUCUGACUUGACCACCUGGAACUCUGAAUGGACUAGUGUAGAUGUUUGGGUCCUCUGAGAAGCACACACUAAGACAGGGUUAGAUGCCCAAGACAGUCACUGGAGGAAACACCUGUGAAGAGAAAGAGGGAGGAAGUAGGAGGAGGCAGGGAGAGGCUUCAGACCCUGAUGCAGGUCUCACACCUGUGAAAGGAGAGGAGGAAGGAAAGGACCAGCAGAAAGAGUCCGAGACGGAAGUUCUUUUCUAAAAUCCAGUAUUUGGAUAGAGCCCAAAUUGCCCAUGUGAGCAGCUCCAUGUCCUGAAGAAAUGGGCCUGGACUUGAACCCUUGUCAUGCUUAGUCAUUGGCAGAGAGUAGCCUGUGGGAGGUGUGUCCUUGGCAUGAACACAGUAGCGGAUCCAGCAGCUGGAACAUUCAGUCAACUAUGCUUCCCAUCUAAGGAGACCUGAGCAAUACAAUUUCAUGGCUACCCAGCAGAUUGUCAGACAUUUCCUCUUUGAACUCACAUCUUAGGGAGUUUGAAAAACAAAACAGGACAUUUGUGAUAGUAUCCCCAAAUCAAUGUUCCAUUCCCUUCUUUGACUUUCACUUCCCCCUCUGUUUCAGCUAGACCAAUCAUGUUGAAAACCCCACCCAGGUUUGUAAAGUUCCUCAUUUGACAAUUAAAAAAAAGUAUGUGAAUAAGGCACAUGCACUUCUUUUGUUUUAUCUUUUGAAUGAGUUAUUUUGCUUUCUUGGGUUUUCUUGGAUUUCAUGUUUUCCUCUUCUUUCCCCAUCCACCACUGCCUGUUCCUCACAGCUGUGUUCCUGAUGCCUGAUGUGAUAUUUGUGGAAUAAAUGGGUAUUAGUGAACAGGCUAUAAAACUCAAAUCCCCUUCAAGUCUGUGAGCUCCUUUGUGUCAGGGUAUUUGUCUUAGGGCGAUGACAUAUAAUGGAAAGACCAUAGAUUUUGUUCUAUGAUCAGACACAAAUUAGCUGUGUGAUGUUGGGCAAAUUGCACCACCUCUCUGAGCCCGAGUUUCCCUUUUUGACUAAUAAAACUAGUAAUAAUAUCUAGCUCAUUGAAAUGUAAAUGAGAGAGUGAUCAUACACGUGAAGUUCUCAGCACAGUGCCUGGCACAUUGUAGGUGCUUACUAAAUGACAGAUAAUGAAUGAAUGAGCCUGAGGAAUACAUAACACAUAAUUUAAUAUGUAAUGCAUAACACAUAAGGCUUUGCUCCUUUCCCUGCCCUCCUGCAAUGGCCUGACCCUUAUCUGGUCACAAAAGAUCCAGGUAAGAAAAAGUAGAUGGACAAAGGAUUGGAACAUAACAGCAAACAAGCCAAUAUCGAGGACCUACUGUGUGCAGCCACUGGGCUAAUCACUGUAGGACAAGUAGAGAUGACUGAGAUAUAUUCCCUCUCCUCCAUCUCACUUGAGGUGCCUAAAGUGGCAUCUCAAUGUGGCAUUAGGUGUUUGAAGAUCUUGAUGGAUGGACACAUGGGGUGAAAGAUAGCAUCAUCACAGGAUGAGGAUAAUGGUUUGGAGAGUGUUGAGGAGACCAGGAUGUGGGGAAGCAGGGAAAGAUACAGCUGGAAAGUUGCUUGGGAUCAAAUCCAUGUAGGUUCUGAAUGCCCUGCGGAGGAAAUUAGACUUGAUUCUGUAUAUAAUGGUAUGUCAGUCAAGGUUCUUGACAAGAUAAGUGGACGGGAAUUUCUGCCAGGUGGAUUGUCAUCAAGUGUUCUGCCCAGUGAAAAAGAAGAACUGCAAUAAUUCAAGGUACUGAUUUUGAGUUCCUUGUUCACCUCAGAUUUCUCUUCACUGAUCAGCUCUUUACAUAUUAUUUUUAGAACUCUCAAAAUGGCAGCCACAGGAACACAGACUAUCCAAAACAGAAGAAAAAGGGAAUUAAGAUGAAGGGGAAUACCUUCUUCAGCGAAUACUAGUUAUUUACUUUGGGUUUGGCCACUAAUCUCAGGACAGAAAUGAAUGAAAAUUUACCCAAAAGACACAUGAGCAUGAAGAGUUAAAUCAAAAAAAGAAAAAAAUACUUUGGACUUUUACUUUAAAAUACACCUUUGAAUUUAACAAUCUGUAACUUGCUCCUUUCCUUCCACUUAGCAAGCUUCUCGAGCACCCUUCUCCUCCUCAUGUUCUGGGAACAAUGGAUGUUUCAUAUAAAAAUAGGUGUAAGUCACUGUGUGAAUAAAAUGAAUAAAUAUGAUGUGCCUCGAAACAGUACCUCAUUGGAAGCUGCAUUCUUCCCUUAGCCUGAGGGGAUGUGUAGCUUACAUUUGCGUGUUGCCUUGGUGUUUGAAGGCUUCUGUGAACAUUUAGCUCAUUUGUUUUUUGCAGAAUUUUUUUUAAUUGUAAAAAAAGUGUUUGUAUACUGUACAAAUUUGCCAUUUCUCCUUCUUUUACCCCAGGGUAAAUCAAAAGGAACCAUACAGUCAAUGAAUCACAAUGAACAUCCCUUAGCUGGUCGCCUUGCCCCUUUCUAGUCUCUUAUUUAUGCUACAUCCAGGUCUUCUUUCAGGAACUCACAUGUGUAACAUCCUUUGGUGACUUCCUCAGUGGUCACAGGAUAAAGUUCCAGUCCCUUCACAGGGUGGAGGUCAAAGGGCUUGGCCAACAUCAUCCCUUUGAGCUUUCAUGCUCCAAUGGGGACUUUUUAAAGGAGGAAGUUAAAGAAAUAUGGGCCAUAGAAGAAAAUGCUACAUGAGAAUUAAGGUAACCAAAGAACUGCCUGUAUUUGGAUAUUCUCUAAGUAAGACAGUGUUUGGUCGGCCAGAGGUGGACCUUGGCUCUUGGACUGAUUGAACUCUGAUUAUAUCCUGAGUUCUACCACCUGUCACUGCUCUUCUGAAAUUAUAAAGGGAUUAGGUCUUGUGUCUAUUCAACAAACAUUUUCUGUGUCCCAACUAUAUAUCAGGAUUUGUGUUGUGUGCUACACUAGGGGUUGUAGAUGGAGGCACAAAAUGAAAUUGAAAUGGUCCUUCUUGAGGAUGGUGCAGUCUGAUGGGGUAGACACAUAUGUCCAUAUAUUUUCCAAAGCAAUGUAUUAAUGGAUCAGAUGGCAAGAAGCACAGGGUGCCAUGGGAGCCCCGAGGAGGAACACAUCCUUAGCCUGAGCUAAGGGUGUUGGGAAUGGCCAGGGAGCGUCGUCUAAAGGAACUGAUACAUCAAUGUCUUCUCUACUAUUGGUCCAGCUUUAAAAUUAUAGCCUCUCAAAGCUGGCUACCCCUGAGGUCACAGUACCUAUCAAACUUAAUUAUCAUCCCUUGGGUCAUUAUCUGAUCUACUAUAAACUUCAAAAGACAGAGAUUGUUUCUAUUUUGCUCGUAAUGUGUCUCAACCACGUAACAGUACUCACACCGUAUAGGUACCUUAUAAAUAUGGGUGGUGUGUUAAGGGAGAAAAUGUUAGCACAUGGAUUUCACCCUCUCCCUCUCAGUGCUAAGGGGAAUUCUGUUGUAAUAUUUAAUGACUGCUUUCUGCAUUCCUAACUCUGAGCCAAGUCUAGAAGGAAACAACAAAAAAGGAAAAGUGUGUGGAAUGUUUGGACCAAACCGAACCUUGGACAUCUGCUGAUUCUAUGCCUCAUUUCUACAGAUAGAAAGUUGAAGUUCAGAGAAGUUACACUAUUAGUGCAAGGUCUUCCAGUUACAGAUAUGUAGGGAGGACGCACAAAGAAUUCUGGGAAGGACUCAUUUCUUUUGCUAUCACACAGAAUGCUUCCAAAUUCUAAAGGAGUCUCAUCUUGCAGCCAGGAAGAUAAUGAUGCUUUUAGAAGAAGCUGAUUCAAGGCCCUCUAAGAAGGGAUUCCCCCAACUACACAAUGAUGUUUUUGAAACAACUGGUCUGCAAGUCCCCUGGGGAGUCUCCACAGUGCUCUUCUGUCUUGGCGAGGACACAGGAUUCUGGCUCCAAGGAGACCUGUUAGGAUCUGACCAGCGGUUCCAGGGAUGCAUCCUGUUUUCUCCUCGAAUUCUAUGCAUGGUCUCAUGAUGGUAAUUUCUACAGUGACCCAAGAGGAUUGAUUCCCAUCCAGAACCUUGUUACAUUGUUUCAGGAAAACUUUCCCAACACCUGAAGAAUUUCUGUGUUCCCCCCUCCCUGUCUGAGAUACCUACUUACCAUAUCACCAGCUUCUGGAUCUACUGUGUCUGGGAUCCAGGUUGAAGCCA
This is a non-coding RNA of Leptonychotes weddellii (Weddell seal), 6455 nucleotides long. NCBI's taxonomy places the organism in Eukaryota, Metazoa, Chordata, Mammalia, Carnivora, Phocidae. The record is from RefSeq and is a predicted model, not a curated record.